This 530-nucleotide long non-coding RNA is filed under the name Prunus persica (peach). Its description in RNAcentral is "long non-coding RNA (PPER_LNC002619)". The record is from RNAcentral. Lineage: Eukaryota; Viridiplantae; Streptophyta; Magnoliopsida; Rosales; Rosaceae.
AUACACUCAGAAAUCCAAACCCAACCCUAGAAGCUAACUUCAGAAGUUCCAGCAUAAGUCUCCUUGCAAGUGAUAGAAUUUAAAAAAUGCGAAGACUUGUAGCCAACCUACCAAGACUCAUUGCAUCUCAAAUCAAGAGAAGAGUUUUACAAUCCCAAUUCAAUUUUAUUUACCAACCAUAUGGGUUGGUGGUGGUUGGGAAAUUCUCAUUAAAUUUCUCAUUAAAUGCAUAGAGCUCUAGAAGACAUUAAUCUUGAAGGGAUUUUAAAGGAAAAGCCAGUUGAGGCCAUUUAAUGGCCAUACCCAUUAGCUGAAGAAAGCUCUAUAAAUAUCUCCUCAAAAGAAGAGGAAAGGACCUCCGACUCAACACAAAAAACCUAUCUUUUUAUCCUGUACCUUUCAAAUCCUAGUCUAGGAUUUUAUCUUUCAAGCACUUUAGAUAUCCAAGUUCUUCAUUUUCCUAGUGUAAGCUUACUUUCUUGCAAUUUACUUUCAUGUGUUUUUAAAUUCAAGUUUAAUUCAAGUCUUUA